RNAcentral lists this ribosomal RNA (254 nucleotides) under uncultured bacterium. RNAcentral describes it as "partial 16S ribosomal RNA". It matches the Rfam family "Bacterial small subunit ribosomal RNA", at positions 524 to 777 of the family's 1533-position model. The record is from RNAcentral.
UACGAAGGGUGCAAGCGUUACUCGGAAUUACUGGGCGUAAAGCGUGCGUAGGCGGUUCGUUAAGUCUGUCGUGAAAGCCCGGCGCUCAACGCCGGGUCGGCCGUGGAUACUCUCGGGCUUGAGCUUACUAGAGGCAGAUGGAAUUCCGGGUGUAGCGGUGGAAUGCGUAGAGAUCCGGAAGAACACCGGUGGCGAAGGCGGUCUGCUGGGGUAAUGCUGACACUGAGGCGCGACAGCGUGGGGAGCAAACAGGG